Molecule: ribosomal RNA, 460 nt
Filed under: uncultured bacterium
Lineage: Bacteria
Description: partial 16S ribosomal RNA
Rfam family: Bacterial small subunit ribosomal RNA
Source: RNAcentral
CCUACGGGAGGCAGCAGUGAGGAAUAUUGGUCAAUGGGCGCGAGCCUGAACCAGCCAAGUAGCGUGAAGGAUGACUGCCCUACGGGUUGUAAACUUCUUUUAUAAAGGAAUAAAGUGAGGCACGUGUGCCUUUUUGUAUGUACUUUAUGAAUAAGGAUCGGCUAACUCCGUGCCAGCAGCCGCGGUAAUACGGAGGAUCCGAGCGUUAUCCGGAUUUAUUGGGUUUAAAGGGAGCGUAGAUGGGUUGUUAAGUCAGUUGUGAAAGUUUGCGGCUCAACCGUAAAAUCGAAAUUGAUACUGGGAGUAUUGAGUACAGGUGAGGUAGGCGGAAUUCGUGGUGUAGCGGUGAAAUGCGUAGAUAUCACGAAGAACUCCGAUUGCGAAGGCAGCUUACUAAACUGCCACUGACAUUGAUGCUCGAAAGUGUGGGUAGCAAACAGGAUUAGAUACCCGAGUAGUC